UCUUCUCCUGCACACAAACAAAA
RNAcentral lists this small nuclear RNA (23 nucleotides) under Arabidopsis thaliana (thale cress). RNAcentral describes it as "snRNA_01429". The record is from RNAcentral. Lineage: Eukaryota; Viridiplantae; Streptophyta; Magnoliopsida; Brassicales; Brassicaceae.